AGCACAUUGUUUUAACCAUGCAACAACGCCUGGAUGUUUUGAAGGACUUAGAUACCACAUCUGUAUCCGCGAUUGCAAAAAAGUACGGCGUGAACAGAAAGACAAUUCGUCGAAUAAUAAACAAUGCACCCAGGAUUCACAUGUUCGCGAACAAGAAUAAGCGAGAGAAAAAACGACGAAGAAUAGUGGAACCAGUUUAUAACGAACUGGAUGAACGUUUAUUAACGUGGUACAUUGAAAAAAGGACACUUGGGGAUAAGAUAACGGACGCUUUAAUGCUUGCAAAAGCUACGCAAAUAAAAGAAGACUUACCAUCGUGUUCAAGUUUCAAGGCCAGCCACGGCUGGUUGGCAAAAUUUAAAGCACGCCACAACAUACGUUUGGUGCGUCUGUAUCACGAAGAAUCUAAUGCGGAGGAAGAGACGGCAGAAAAUGAAAAUCAGCAAAUUAAAGAAGAAGGAACUUCUCCAAAAGAACUCCAGGAGAGUUUUAAGUCUGAAGAAAUGAUGGAGGACCACAACGAUGAAGCAACAAAAACGGAGCUAAUAAAUAUAUUCGAAAGACUCACAUUUUAUAGUGCUAGAGCACCAGCGCAUAUUCAAUGCAUAGUGAAAGGGCUGAAAAUAUUUUUCUUGGAUGAAGAGCAUUAACUGGAAGGUAACACCACGUGGGCCGGCAACUAUGUACAGUCAUGGAUAAAAUAUUGGAACUGACAAAUAGGCUUUGCCCUUGCCCCGCACCUCAG
Molecule: RNA transcript, 745 nt
Organism: Osmia bicornis bicornis
Lineage: Eukaryota; Metazoa; Arthropoda; Insecta; Hymenoptera; Megachilidae
Gene name: jerky protein homolog-like
Exons: 3
Source: RefSeq, a predicted model, not a curated record